GGGGAAUUUUCCGCAAUGGGCGAAAGCCUGACGGAGCAAUACCACGUGAGGGAUGAAGGCCUAUGGGUUGUAAACCUCUUUUUUCAGGGAGGAAUCAAUGACGUGUACUUGAAGAAUAAGCAUCGGCUAACUCCGUGCCAGCAGCCGCGGUAAGACGGAGGAUGCAAGUGUUAUCCGGAAUCACUGGGCGUAAAGCGUCUGUAGGUGGUUUGAUAAGUCAACUGUUAAAUCUUGAGGCUUAACCUCAAAAUCGCAGUCGAAACUAUUAGACUAGAGUAUAGUAGGGGUAAAGGGAAUUUCCAGUGGAGCGGUGAAAUGCGUAGAUAUUGGAAGGAACACCGAUGGCGAAGGCACUUUACUGGGCUAUUACUAACACUCAGAGACGAAAGCUAGGGUAGCAAAUGGGAUUAGAUACCCCAGUAGUC
RNAcentral lists this ribosomal RNA (425 nucleotides) under uncultured cyanobacterium. RNAcentral's name for it is "bacterial SSU rRNA". It matches the Rfam family "Bacterial small subunit ribosomal RNA", at positions 356 to 795 of the family's 1533-position model. Lineage: Bacteria; Bacillati; Cyanobacteriota. The record is from RNAcentral.